This is a non-coding RNA of Anas platyrhynchos (mallard), 3663 nucleotides long. The record is from RefSeq and is a predicted model, not a curated record. Lineage: Eukaryota; Metazoa; Chordata; Aves; Anseriformes; Anatidae.
GGUUAACAGAAGAAGGGGAAGGUCUGCAGCGGGGCGGUUGUGCAAACAGCUCCUUGUGGGAACGCGAUUCCUCCGCCACCGCAGCAAUAAAUAUUUCGAGUUGCCUAAUUAUAUUUUACUAGAAAACGGGUUAAUUAAGAAAUGGGCUAGCCUGAGUGAGCUUCCUGGUAGCGCUGCAACACUCUGUGCUGGGAUGACUCAAUGAACACAAGGGUUUGCCUGCAGCAAACCGUGCGGGGAUGGCUCUCAGUGACUUAACCCGCAGGAGCUAAGACCUUGAACUCCAGUGUCUUUAAAUAAAUGCAUUUUUCAGUGAACUUUUAUUGUAAAUGAUCUGCAAGGUUUGUAAAACUCAACCACUUUUUGUUUUGAGCCUGUCCACCACCACGCUGAGUGGUUUGAUUAAUCUCCUGUGCGAGCUUUAAUUAGUUCCAGAUGCUUCAAAGGGGCUCGUUUAAAAAUCAGCUUGCCUGAUGGGCACCUGUAAGCUUGCUGGGACAGGCUGGAAACAGGGAGCUGGAGCAAUUCAGGCUCCUUUCAGAGGAAAGCAGCUGACACUGGAUGUCACCAUUGUACAAGAGAAGCAGAACCGAGGUGGCUGGGACCUUCCUCUCGGUCAGAGGAACGCACGCAUCGUGACCACCACCCUGCUGCUCACUGAAGAAGUGAUGCGGGAAGACCGGGGCUCGGAGGGGAGCUACGUCCUGUACGGCUCCUCCUGCGCCGAGCUCACCGAAGAAGCUGAGUAUGUGAAAAAGCAGCACCCUCCGGUGCCGGGCAGGAGCGCAGAGCCCAGGAGCAGCGGCUGGAGCUCGAGCUGCAGCCCCGUGGCGGCGAAGAUGAGGGAAACGGAGCAGCAGCUGCUGCUGGUCAGCAGGGAGAACCAGCUGCUGCGGAUCAAGCUGGAAGCCACGAGAGAAGCGGGCGUGCAGGCUCUCCGGGCUGCCUCCCAAAAACUCUACGAGAGCUACCAGGCUCGCUCCGAAGAACUUCACAAAACUCAGGAGAAGGAGAAGCAGCAAAUACAGGCCCGCAGUCGGGAGCAGGAGGGAAAGCUGCAGCAGCAGGAGGAGAAGGCCACGCAGCUCGCCGGCGCCGUGGAGGAGAGGUGCGCCCGCAUCGCGGCCAUGGAGCAGCGCGUGCGCAGGAUGGAGGAGGAGAAGAAAACUCUGAUGGAAAAGAAAACGUCCUAUGAAAAGAUGCUUCUGCAGAUGAUGUCGAGGAACGAAGACAGCAAACGGUGCCUGGCGGUGCAGCAGGACAUCGCCACGCUGCGGGAGCAGAUCGGCCACCUGCAGCGCCUGAUCGGGGCGCAGCACCAGAGCCUGCGCCGCGUCAUCCAGGAGGCGGAGGAAUUGAAUGAAGAACUCAAAAUCCAGGACAAGAAAAUAGAAGACCUGACUGAAAAGGUGACGGCGCUUGAGACUCAGAAUAAAGAACUGAAAGACAAAGUGGCGCUCUGGUCCAGCCAGCCCAAGACAAAAGUUUCAAAAGCCGUCCUGACAGACCCCCUGCGGGACUACAGAGCAUCCCCUUACCUGCUGCUGACCAGGAUGAAGAAGCAGGACUGCUAAAUGAACUUGAUGAAACGAGGGCGUGCUUCUCCUGCCUUUGGCAGAAGGACUUCUUGUGUUGCAACACGUCUUCGACACUUGCUUUUUCUGAGACGGGGUGCAGAAGAGGUGCUGCGGAGCUGCUUUUGGGAGAAUAAACCUGGAAACAAGGCACGAGGUGAAGAGAGAGCCCAGGGGCAUCAGUUCCAUACCCACCAGGAGGAGGAGCUGUUCCAGUAAGCCAUAUGGGGCCGUCCCCGUGGGAUUCAGCACCGUCCUCAGACAAGGAUUUGAGCAGAUUCCUCUCAGUGUUCAACCAGCUUCUGUCCUUCCCGAACUCUUUCCACGGUGAGUUUUGUGCUCCAGUCGGUGCGAGGACGAAGCUCCACGUUUAGCCUCUCCUUCCCUUCACCUGAAAUCCUGUUUGCAUGGGAUUGGACUUAUUUCCUGGAUGGUUUCUGGCAUUUACGUCCUCAUUUUGAUGCAAAAUCUUGAAAGGGUGAUGAACAGCUCCUGCUGCCUGCGCUGCUGCUUACCUCUGACUGUCCCGGUGCAGGUAACAUCUCAUCCGUCCAGCCCCGUGCCCAGGACAGGCUGGUCCCUCUGCUGUCACACCAAAGUGUUCUGGGCACCGUUUGUCCCUCAUUUUGAGAUGUCACCUCGUGGUUUGAAUCGUAUCCCCCACGAGAGUGACACUAUUUGCACGUGCACCUUCACCUCUGAAGGGAAAGGAAAGCCAAAGCCUUGUAUAAAGUCUGUCUUCUCACCUGUGUCACAGAUGACAGUAUUUUGGGAAAAAUUGAUCCUUAAAUAAGACUUGAAUGUACCAAAUUUGUCUGUUCCUUUUCUUAGCUCGCUUCAGAAGGUGGGUUUAUCCUUUCAGGAGCAACUGAGCUCAACUGCAGGUCAGGAUUAAAAAAAAACACAACCCUUUUCCCCCCCCAAAGAGCUGAGCCAGCCACUUAAAAAUGUACUUUUAUUGUGAAAAUAACAGUGCAGAAACCGGAUCACGGGCGUACAUUCCUCAGCUGUGUUACACAGACCCACGCACCGGGGGCUCAUCCGCCAGCACGGGUUGAAGCCCCAGGUGCUUUGGUACAAAAAAAAAGUGACAAGAAAUUUGUUAAGCAAGCGCCGUGGUCCCAGCGAGGGGCAUCUAUGCUAAAAACACCGUUUGUGUUCGAGCUAUAGUGUCAACCACACUGAUGUCACUAGGCGUCACAGGGAUCUGCUGGAGACGAACGUAAAACAUGCUUACCAGAGCACAAGAGAAGAAAACACCUGGGGAGGAACUGCUACAGGCUCCGUAGUGUUCGUAUCUGGACGAGGAAAGGUGCCUCGACGAAGCCAAAGAACAAUUCAACGUCCAGAAGUAGGCUUCCACCACCGGGAUGACUCAGAUGUGGCCGUUCUGUGCUGCGGUUCCCAUUGUCUCCAGGACAUUACGUACAACCUGGGAACUUUGAACGCUGCUCUCACUUUCAGUUUGAGCUGCUCCCAGCCCCAAGGAGUGGCUCUGAGGCAUCCCUGCAGGGCUGCAGCUGCUCAGCAGGGGAAAAAAAGGGAGCAAGAGUCAAAUGGAAACGGAGAGGUAACAGGUAACAGACUUACUUAAAACCCUGUCUUAUUUUUUUGCAAGGAGGAUUAACCUAAUAAGCAACAAAGCUGUUGGCAGGCGUUUAGGAACAUUUAUUAUGUUCCUCUUUCCUGAGAGCUUCCCUAUAAAACCUACCUGCAGCACCUACCAGGAGGAGAAACUUCCAUUUCUCUCCCUUUUCCUGUACAGUUUUGAUAACAAAAUCCUUUUGGAAUAAUAGUUGGCUUCCUUUUUUAAAAAAAAACAACACAUAAUAAUUAGCUUCCUGUAUUAGCAAGGAACAAAACUUUUGCUGGAGUCAUUUCCCUUUUAUUCCUAUGUGGAUCCCUUGAGGGGAUCCCUGAAUGAUUUUUAAGUAGCUGAAAGCACAAUAACCACAAAUAGACCUUUAACUGCCGGCUGUAUAAAACCCAAACCCCUAUCCUAUAAAAAAAAAGGACGGGAGAAACUCCAUGCUGUAACCUGGUUUAGAAAACUGAUCUCUUUACUUACAAAUAUAGUAUUUUGCUUUGC